This 253-nucleotide ribosomal RNA is filed under the name uncultured bacterium. RNAcentral describes it as "partial 16S ribosomal RNA". It matches the Rfam family "Bacterial small subunit ribosomal RNA", at positions 524 to 776 of the family's 1533-position model. The record is from RNAcentral.
UACGAAGGGGGCUAGCGUUGUUCGGAAUUACUGGGCGUAAAGCGCGCGUAGGCGGACAUUUAAGUCAGGGGUGAAAUGCCGGGGCUCAACCUCGGAACUGCCUUUGAUACUGGAUGUCUGGAGUUCGGGAGAGGUGAGUGGAAUUCCGAGUGUAGAGGUGAAAUUCGUAGAUAUUCGCAAGAACACCAGUGGCGAAGGCGGCUCACUGGCCCGAUACUGACGCUGAGGCACGAAAGUGUGGGGAGCAAACAGG